CCUACGGGAGGCAGCAGUGGGGAAUAUUGGGCAAUGGGCGCAAGCCUGACCCAGCCACGCCGCGUGAAGGAAGACGGCUUUACGGUUGUAAACUUCUUUUAAGAGGGAAGAGAAGAAGACGGUACCUCUUGAUUAAGCCACGGCUAACUACGUGCCAGCAGCCGCGGUAAUACGUAGGUGGCAAGCGUUGUCCGGAUUUACUGGGUGUAAAGGGCGUGUAGCCGGGCUGACAAGUCAGAUGUGAAAUUCCGGGGCUCAACCGCGGACCUGCAUUUGAUACUGGUGGUCUUGAGUAUCGGAGAGGCAGGCGGAAUUCCUAGUGUAGCGGUGAAAUGCGUAGAUAUUAGGAGGAACUCCAGUGGCGAAGGCGGCCUGCUGGACGACAACUGACGGUGAUGCGCGAAAGUGUGGGGAGCAAACAGGAUUAGAUACCUUUGUAGUC
RNAcentral lists this ribosomal RNA (442 nucleotides) under uncultured bacterium. RNAcentral describes it as "partial 16S ribosomal RNA". It matches the Rfam family "Bacterial small subunit ribosomal RNA", at positions 338 to 795 of the family's 1533-position model. The record is from RNAcentral.